RNAcentral lists this ribosomal RNA (468 nucleotides) under uncultured bacterium. RNAcentral describes it as "partial 16S ribosomal RNA". It matches the Rfam family "Bacterial small subunit ribosomal RNA", at positions 28 to 507 of the family's 1533-position model. The record is from RNAcentral.
GACGAACGCUGGCGGCGUGCUUAACACAUGCAAGUCGAACGGAAAGGCCCUGCUUUUGUUGGGUUCUCGAUUGGCGAACGGGUGAGUAACACGUGAGUAACCUGCCCUUAACUUUGGGAUAACUUCAGGAAACUGGGGCUAAUACCGGAUAGGAUCUUCUGCUGCAUGGUGGGGGUUGGAAAGUUUCGGCGGUGGGGGAUGGACUCGCGGCUUAUCAGCUUGUUGGUGGGGUAGUGGCGUACCAAGGCUUUGACGGGUAGCCGGCCUGAGAGGGUGACCGGCCACAUUGGGACUGAGAUAGGGACCAGACUGCUACGGGAGGCAGUAGUGGGGAAUAUUGCACAAUGGGCGGAAGCCUGAUGCAGCAACGCCGCGUGCGGGAUGACGGGCUUCGGGUUGUAAACCGAUUUCGCAUGUGACGAAGCGUGCGUGACGGUAAUGGGUAAAGAAGCAACGGCUAACUACGUG